Molecule: ribosomal RNA, 233 nt
Filed under: uncultured bacterium
Lineage: Bacteria
Description: partial 16S ribosomal RNA
Rfam family: Bacterial small subunit ribosomal RNA
Source: RNAcentral
UACAGAGACUGCAAGCGUUAUUCGGAUUCACUGGGCGUAAAGGGCGCGUAGGCGGCGCGGGAAGUCCGUGGUGAAAGCCCGAGGCUCAACUUCGGGUCGGCCAUGGAUACUCCUGGGCUUGAGCACUGUAGAGGCAGGUGGAAUUCCGGGUGUAGCGGUGGAAUGCGUAGAGAUCCGGAAGAACACCGGUGGCGAAGGCGGCCUGCUGGGCAGUAGCUGACGCUGAGGCGCGA